Molecule: RNA transcript, 549 nt
Organism: Ornithorhynchus anatinus (platypus)
Lineage: Eukaryota; Metazoa; Chordata; Mammalia; Monotremata; Ornithorhynchidae
Exons: 4
Source: RefSeq, a predicted model, not a curated record
ACUGUAAGCUCAUUAUGGGCACGGAACGUGUCCGCUAAGUCUGUCGUAUUCACACCAGGGCUUACUACGGCGCUCUACGCAUAGAGAGCACUCAAUAAAUACCACUGAUUGAUUAACCACCAGCCAGCAGAAGCAAGCAACGAAGCGGACCUGCUAAAAUGUGACAUCUCGGAAAUCUUCCAAAACCCGCUACGAGGCCUGACCGGCCGAAGGUUGCCGACGAAAUCCUUUGGCCUACGCCUCACGUUGGACGGGCUUUCCGAUGUUUCAAAUACCGUUGGAACCCAGUUGGCCGAACCAAUGACUCCUCCCGGAAUUGAAGGGGAACUUGGGCCAAUUUCAGAGAGGGAAUCCACAAAGCACAAGGCUCUACGCUAUGAUUUGAGGCUCAGACUUCUACUCUCUCUGUGAGACCCUGAAGAUCCCCCACUGUGGUUCUUCAAAAGAAGGCUCGCUGUUAGUGAGUAAAGAAGGAGACAGGAGUGUGACUUAUUUAUCCAGCUGCAAUUCAGAUGAGUUUGGAAUGAAUGCUCUAGGGAGAUGUGUCCU